This 200-nucleotide unclassified non-coding RNA is filed under the name Hyaloscyphaceae sp. RNAcentral's name for it is "partial internal transcribed spacer 2". The record is from RNAcentral. Lineage: Eukaryota; Fungi; Ascomycota; Leotiomycetes; Helotiales; Hyaloscyphaceae.
UUAAGUUCAGCGGGUAUCCCUACCUGAUCCGAGGUCAACCUAGAAAAAUUUGGGGUUGCUGGCCAGUAUCUCCCCAGACCCUAUAGCGAGAAAAUUACUACGCGUAGAGCUGAAGAGCACCGCCACUAGUUUAAGGCCGCCAGCUGGCGAGGCCCAACACUUAGCCAGGCUAGAUUGGUAUAAAUGACGCUCGAACAGGC